UAUGUAUCCCAAUCUGCAUGUUUCUGUUGCGCCAAAACAUUGUUCCUUUUAUUUUCUGUCAAUUUAAUUAAUGUUUAUGUGUGCUUUUGUAGUAUGUUUAUGUCUGUCAACUUAAUUAGUGUUUAUGUGUUUUUUGUAGCUCUUUUAUUGUCUAUCAACUUAAUAAAUGUUUAUAUGUUUUUGGUAUGCAUAAGCAUGGUAGUAAAACAGGCUCACCUAUUAGCAAGUUGCUACUUGCAUGUGGUGGUCCGAUCCUAUAUGCCGGUAAUCUAGUAUGCCUCUGCAUUUCGGUAGAAGUAGCAUUCAGAACAUAGUGUUUUACUGCAGAGAUUGUCUCAUCGUAUAGAUAUUUCUCCCUCCU
This 361-nucleotide long non-coding RNA is filed under the name Setaria viridis. RNAcentral's name for it is "long non-coding RNA (SVIR_LNC007294)". Lineage: Eukaryota; Viridiplantae; Streptophyta; Magnoliopsida; Poales; Poaceae. The record is from RNAcentral.